RNAcentral lists this long non-coding RNA (498 nucleotides) under Musa acuminata (dwarf banana). RNAcentral's name for it is "long non-coding RNA (MACU_LNC000888)". The record is from RNAcentral. Lineage: Eukaryota; Viridiplantae; Streptophyta; Magnoliopsida; Zingiberales; Musaceae.
GCUGCAAUCCUCUGUCCGUGAGAAUCUCUAUCGGCUCUCUGUUUGUGUGCCCUGCGGCAUGUACUGCAGACUCGAUCCAAGUCAUCUCUCUGCAGUCGUCCCUCUCCACGCCCAGCUCCGGGAAGCUGUGCCCCAUGUGUUGGAGGAGCCCUUCGCAGUCUCCAAGAAACAUGGACAUGAACACCGCCUCCACCCUCCUCUUUGCCCCCUCGGUUUGGGCUAUGUUAACGCGGAGGAGCAGGUCGUCAUGGAGCAGGUGAGCAAUGUUCUGCCAUUUGUUCAUCAGCUCGAUUGCCCCCUGCUCCGACGUCCUGUGAACGGUGAACAUGCUCACGGUGGCAGGGACGGGGACCAAUCUGACCUUCCAAGAGACGAUGACAACGAAGCUUGCUCCGCCGCCGCCUCUUAUGGCCCAGAAGAGGUCCUCGCCCAUGGAUUCCCUGUCCAGGAUCCUGCCAUCGACGUCGAUUACCUUGGCGUCCAAAACGUUGUCAGCUG